AUUUUAUUUUUCUAAUAUAUUUUAGCUGCUAUAAUAUUAAUAUCAAGUAGGCUGUCUCUUCUAUACUAAAAUUACAGAGGCCAUCAACGCUUUUCUACGCUUUUACAAAGUAAUGAUUCUCUGUGUAUGUCUGUUCCUAAUUUUCUUUUGGUGUCUAACUUCGAACAGGCACAGACGGUUACCAAAAAUAUAUGCAAAUACAUGCUUCUUUAUAAAAUCGUUGAUAAGCAUUUCCCCAAAGGUGCACCAUUAUUUCCUUCCAAUGAAUGGAAGCUCUAGCUCUCUGAUUCAACUUGAAUCAAACAAUGGAAAAUCAGGCUAAAAUGUUUACUAACAGCUAAGAGUGGCUAUAAAGGCUGGUAAGACACUAGGCAGCUUCUCACUCAUAGAAUUUCCUAAAGAGGGAAACAGAACCUAAGGAGCUGUGGCUCCAUGGAAACAAACUUGCCUAGUAUCCAUGAGGAUGCAGGUUCAAUCCCCAGCCUCACGCAGUGGGUCAAGGAUGCCAUGAGCUGCAGUGUAGGUCGCAAACUUGUCUCAUAGUCCGCAUUGCUGUGGCUGUAGCAUAGGCUGGCAGCUACAGCCCCAAUGUGACCUGACUCCUAGACUGGGAACUUCCAUAUGCCGUGGGUGCCGUCCUAAAAAAGAAAAAAAAGGGGGGAGGGGGGAACAGAACCUAACUAGAGUAGGUUGUUGCAGUUUAGAGGUCAGUAGAAAGGAAAAGUGCCCUCUGCAGGAAGGCCAGUCCUGGAUUUACAUCCUGCCUCCACCAUGUGGUUAGUGAGGCCCGAGACGCCCUACCUUCUAGAGCUUCAGUGGGUAGAGAGUCAGUGUGGCUUAAGUGCCCAGCCCCCCAGCACAGAUCUCUCCUCCAAGCUCCAGGCUGCCUUGAGGGCAAUGAAAACUCAACACUCCAUCACCUCCAUCUCCCCUCCACGGCCCGCUGCUGGGCCCUUCUCAGUAUCUUCCCAGCACACCCAUCUCCCUCCAUCUCCUCUGCUGCCACCCCGUCUGAGACACCAACCGUCCUCUGGGCAAAUGCAAUUGCCUCCCAUCUGCUUUCCCCAAAUCUACCUUUGAAACCCCUUUGGAGUCCUCUCCAUGCUCUCGGAUGAAGGACCAAGGUCCUUAAUAGGAUCUACAACGUCUUGCAAAGUCAACCCUUUCCUGCCUCCCCAGCCUCACCUUCCUCCAUCCUUCCACUCCAGCCACAGUCCUUCCUGCAAGCGGGGCUUUGCACACGCCGCUCCUUUGCUUCGCGUGGUAAGACCUUUUGGGUUGUCACUGCAGGGGCUCGAGUCGUUGCUGAUGUGGGUUCGAGCCCUGGC
Molecule: long non-coding RNA, 1328 nt
Filed under: Sus scrofa (pig)
Lineage: Eukaryota; Metazoa; Chordata; Mammalia; Artiodactyla; Suidae
Description: lncRNA (ENSSSCG00055028644.1)
Source: RNAcentral